RNAcentral lists this ribosomal RNA (477 nucleotides) under uncultured bacterium. RNAcentral describes it as "bacterial SSU rRNA". It matches the Rfam family "Bacterial small subunit ribosomal RNA", at positions 791 to 1263 of the family's 1533-position model. The record is from RNAcentral.
UAGUCCACGCCGUAAACGAUGUCUACUAGCCGUUGGGGAACUUGAUUCUUUAGUGGCGCAGCUAACGCACUAAGUAGACCGCCUGGGGAGUACGGCCGCAAGGUUAAAACUCAAAUGAAUUGACGGGGCCCGCACAAGCGGUGGAGCAUGUGGUUUAAUUCGAUGCAACGCGAAGAACCUUACCAGGCCUUGACAUCCUGAGAACUUUCUAGAGAUAGAUUGGUGCCUUCGGGAACUCAGUGACAGGUGCUGCAUGGCUGUCGUCAGCUCGUGUCGUGAGAUGUUGGGUUAAGUCCCGUAACGAGCGCAACCCUUGUCCUUAGUUGCCAGCACGUAAUGGUGGGAACUCUAAGGAGACUGCCGGUGACAAACCGGGAGGAAGGUGGGGACGACGUCAAUUCAUCACGGGCCCUUACGUCCUGGGGCUACACACGUGCUACAAUGGGUAGGGUACAGAGAGCAGCCACUGCGUGAGCA